This 205-nucleotide non-coding RNA is filed under the name Trichogramma brassicae. The record is from RNAcentral. Lineage: Eukaryota; Metazoa; Arthropoda; Insecta; Hymenoptera; Trichogrammatidae.
CUUAGUAAAUAACCAACCACGUGGAUUCGGGAGCAAUCGCCUCAUCCGUACUCGCGAAAUACUUGCGUAGGAUGUUUCCAAAGUAACCCAAGUAACCUAAUCUAUCUUGAAAGUGGUAUCUUAGUCAAAUUGAGUUCCUUGUGCAUAUGAGCACUAAAUCUGAAAAUGACGUAUGUUGCGAUGAUCGAGGGUUGGUUAUAAUUUU